Molecule: long non-coding RNA, 1496 nt
Organism: Pseudopipra pipra
Lineage: Eukaryota; Metazoa; Chordata; Aves; Passeriformes; Pipridae
Exons: 2
Source: RefSeq, a predicted model, not a curated record
CCUACCGAGCCUCCCGCAGGCGGCCCGCGUCCUGCUCCAGCGCAUCCAGCAGCAGGAAGGUGUCCUCGGCCGGCUCGUACACGUCGCGGAAGGGCCCCCGCGGGCCCAGAUUGUGUUUCCACCGUGAGAACUACCGCAGGGAGUCGGCGUGAGCACCGAAUGAAAGAGGUGCUGAGGGAAGUUCUCGAAGCACACAGGGGAAACCCUUACAUUGAUACUCACUCAACUUAAACGAAGCUCUAUUUUCCAGUUAUAAAAUACUAUGUUUCUGUGAUUUUUAGUCAACAACACCUCACCGCAUGCUUAUGUACCAACCCUGUGAACUUCAGAGUCGUAGAAUCACAGAAUGGCCUGGGUUGGAAGGCACCUUAAAGAUCGUCUAGAUCAAACCCCCCUGCCAUGGGCAGGGACACCUUCCACUAGACCGGGUUGCUCAGAGCCCCAUCCAACCUGGCCUUGAACACUUCCAGGGAUGGGGCAGCCACAGCUUCUCUGGGCAAGCUGUUCCAUUGUCUCACCACACUCACACUAAAAGAAUUUCAUCCUAAUAUCCAAUCUAAACCUACUCACUUUCAGUUUGAAGUCUUAACCCCUUUUCACUACAUACCUCUGUAAGUAGUCUCUGUCCAUCUUUCUUCUAGGCUUUUUGGGUACUGGAAGACCUCAAUUAGGUCACCCUGAAACCUUCUCUUUUCUAGGAUGAACAAUCCCGAUUCUCUCAGCCUUUCUUCAUAGGAGAGGUGCUCACUCCAGUCAUCCUGGUGUCCUCUUCCAGACUUGCUCCCACAUGUCGAUGUCCUUCCUGUGCUGGGGACCCCAAAGAUGGAUGCAGUACUCUAACAAAAAUGAGGCUCUGCAAAACUAAGAAUUGAGGGGAAAUUUCAGGGCACAGAUCAGACUAAUAAUUUUCUCUACACAACAAACCCCAAACAAAUUGUGAUCAAAAGCAGAAGAGAGAGGUGGACAAAUUCUAAUUCCCAUUAAAUGUCUGUGUUCAAUUAUUAAUGCAGUGAACACUCAAAUUCUGACAGUAAGAUGAAUGUCUAGGUCAAUGAAGGAAACAGGUGAUGUUAACAAACAAGUUAGAAUCUUAAAAUGUUAUUUUGAUAGCAAUUUCAAGUAACAUGAGUUUUGGCAGAAGAAGGAAAAAAUGCACCUAAACAACUAACCCAGUGGAUUAAUCUUUGUUGACUUAUGUAUAUAAAUGUACUUAAAAUACAAGUAUGUAUGUGGCCUGGUUCCCGACUGGACAGGGUUAAUAUUUGCAGUAGCCAGGAGGGAACAUGGCUGGGACCUGCAGGUUAUUCUAUACCACUUCACCUCAUUUUCUGGGAACAGGGAAAUGCCUGCUUCUGGGUCAGGGUAGUGUGGCACGGUCAGGUAUGGUUGAAGGUUUCCACAAUAACAUUUCUUGUACAUUCUGUUAUUAGUAUUGUUGCUGUUACUGUUUGUUUUCUUGUCUCAUUGCUGUUUCCAAUAAAUUGUUCAUAUCUCAA